Molecule: ribosomal RNA, 248 nt
Filed under: uncultured bacterium
Lineage: Bacteria
Description: partial 16S ribosomal RNA
Rfam family: Bacterial small subunit ribosomal RNA
Source: RNAcentral
UACAGAGGGUGCGAGCGUUGUCCGGAAUCACUGGGCGUAAAGGGCGCGUAGGCGGCCUGGUAAGCGUGCGGUGAAAGCCCGGGGCUCAACCCCGGGUCGGCCGUGCGAACUGCGAGGCUGGAGCACUGUAGAGGCAGGUGGAAUUCCGGGUGUAGCGGUGGAAUGCGUAGAGAUCCGGAAGAACACCGGUGGCGAAGGCGGCCUGCUGGGCAGUGGCUGACGCUGAGGCGCGACAGCGUGGGAGGCAA